GUUUAAAUUUAAAUACCCUAAUGGCACCAGAUCCUGUCUGAUCUUGGAAGCUAAGCAGGGACAGCCCUGGUUAGUACUUUGAUGGAGACCACCAAUGAAUACCAGGUGCUGGAGGCU
RNAcentral lists this ribosomal RNA (117 nucleotides) under Anolis carolinensis (green anole). The record is from RNAcentral. Lineage: Eukaryota; Metazoa; Chordata; Lepidosauria; Squamata; Anolidae.